UACGUAGGUGGCAAGCGUUGUCCGGAUUUAUUGGGCGUAAAGGGCGCGUAGGCGGGGAUGUAAGUCAGAUGUGAAAUCCCGGGGCUCAACCCCGGAACAGCAUUUGAAACUACAUUUCUAGAGGGUAGGCGGAGAAAACGGAAUUCCACAAGUAGCGGUGAAAUGCGUAGAUAUGUGGAAGAACACCGGUGGCGAAGGCGGUUUUCUAGCUUAUACCUGACGCUAAUGCGCGAAAGCAAGGGGAGCAAACAGG
This 253-nucleotide ribosomal RNA is filed under the name uncultured bacterium. Its description in RNAcentral is "partial 16S ribosomal RNA". It matches the Rfam family "Bacterial small subunit ribosomal RNA", at positions 524 to 776 of the family's 1533-position model. The record is from RNAcentral.